UAAGGAAUAUUGCUCAAUGGGAGAAAUCCUGAAGCAGCAACGCCGCGUGGAGGAUGAAGGGUCUAUGACUUGUAACUCCUGUAAAGAAGGAAAAAAUUCCCAUUUGAUGGGAGAUGAUGGUACUUCUGGAGUAAGCCCCGGCUAACUACGUGCCAGCAGCCGCGGUAAUACGUAGGGGGCAAGCGUUGUCCGGAUUUACUGGGUGUAAAGGGUGCUCAGGCGGAUUUGUAAGUCAGAGGUGAGAUCUUACAGCUUAACUGUGAAACUGCCUUUGAUACUGCAAGCCUAGAGUAUGGAAGAGAGUGAUGGAAUAUCUGGUGUAGCAGUGAAAUGCGUAGAUAUCAGAUAGAACACCAAUGGCGAAGGCAGUCACUUGGUCCAUUACUGACGCUAAAGAACGAAAGCGUGGGUAGCAA
This 416-nucleotide ribosomal RNA is filed under the name uncultured bacterium. RNAcentral describes it as "bacterial SSU rRNA". It matches the Rfam family "Bacterial small subunit ribosomal RNA", at positions 355 to 771 of the family's 1533-position model. The record is from RNAcentral.